Molecule: non-coding RNA, 625 nt
Organism: Cherax quadricarinatus
Lineage: Eukaryota; Metazoa; Arthropoda; Malacostraca; Decapoda; Parastacidae
Source: RefSeq, a predicted model, not a curated record
UUUUAUUCUGUACCAGCAGUACCAGCUGGAGUGUCGCAGGGUGAGGAUGUGCUCUCUCUCUGUCUCGUAGAUAAUUGUUCCCAGUGUCCUUGUGGUCGGCCAUAGCUGCAGAUAAUGAUUUAUAAUGCGUAUAUGUAAGAUGCCCUGCAUUAUUCCUGGUGUUUCCCUAGUUCUCACCCAGUGUCCUAUCCAUAACCCCAUGAAAUUUGUGGCAGCAGUCCCAAGAGCCAAUCAACGUGUGUAGUACCCUUAUCAAGAUUUCUUGUGUACAUCUAAUGUCCAAGCAUGACCUGUUCUGCAUUCAGUGUCUGCCUAUCUGUGUAAUUGUUGCAUAGAUCUCUCCACAAGCAAAGAUAAGUCUGGAGAAGUGCGGUUUAUGGGUGGGUUUGGAGAAGUGAUGUACGCGCACAGUUGUGGCACUACAGUCGGCAGCAGGCAACCAAAGCCAGCAGAAUUCCAAUACCACCUCCACUCAGGAUAUGCAAAUAAUCUGCACAUAGAAGAGGGGAGCUUAAGACGACGUUUUGGUCCGACUUGGACCAUUUACAAAGUCACGCUAAAAGGAGAGGGAGUGUACAUAGGCCAGCAAACAUUGACGGGAGCAAGAGAGUGAAACAAUUUCCUU